Molecule: ribosomal RNA, 407 nt
Filed under: uncultured bacterium
Lineage: Bacteria
Description: partial 16S ribosomal RNA
Rfam family: Bacterial small subunit ribosomal RNA
Source: RNAcentral
UGGGGAAUAUUGCACAAUGGGCGCAAGCCUGAUGCAGCGACGCCGCGUGAGGGAUGACGGCCUUCGGGUUGUAAACCUCUUUCAGUAGGGAAGAAGCGAAAGUGACGGUACCUGCAGAAGAAGCACCGGCUACCUACGUGCCAGCAGCCGCGGUAAUACGUAGGGUGCGAGCGUUAUCCGGAAUUAUUGGGCGUAAAGAGCUCGUAGGCGGUUUGUCGCGUCUGUCGUGAAAGUCCGGGGCUUAACCCCGGAUCUGCGGUGGGUACGGGCAGACUAGAGUGCAGUAGGGGAGACUGGAAUUCCUGGUGUAGCGGUGGAAUGCGCAGAUAUCAGGAGGAACACCGAUGGCGAAGGCAGGUCUCUGGGCUGUAACUGACGCUGAGGAGCGAAAGCAUGGGGAGCGAACA